GUUGGCUUAGAAGCAGCCAUCCUUUAAAGAAAGCGUAACAGCUCACUGGUCUAAACAAGGGUUCCUGCGGCGAAGAUGUACCGGGGCUCAAGACACGCACCGAAGCUUAGGGUGUGACAUUAGUCACGCGGUAGCGGAGCGUUCCGUAAGCCUGCGAAGCGGUCUGGUAAUGGACCGUGGAGGUAUCGGAAGUGCGAAUGCAGACAUGAGUAGCGAUAAACAGGGUGAGAUGCCCUGUCGCCGAAAGACCAAGGGUUCCUGCUUAAAGCUAAUCUGAGCAGGGUGAGCCGGACCCUAAGACGAGGCCGAAGGGCGUAGUCGAUGGGAAGCAGGUUAAUAUUCCUGCGCCUGGGGAUGUGUGACGGAUCGCGUGUGUUGUUCAACCUUAUCGGAUUGGUUGGGCUUCGAAGCGGUUCCAGGAAAUAGCCUCCCCGUACAGUCCGUACCCGAAACCGACACAGGUGGUCAGGUAGAGUAUACCAAGGCGCUUGAGAGAAGUGUGCUGAAGGAACUCGGCAAAUUGCCUCCGUACCUUCGGAAGAAGGAGGCCCCAUGUAAGCGCAAGCUCUCAUGGGGGGCACAGGCCAGGGGGUAGCGACUGUUUAGCAAAAACACAGGGCUCUGCUAAGUCGGCUUCAAGACGACGUAUAGGGUCUGACGCCUGCCCGGUGCCUGAAGGUUAAGUGGAGGUGUGCAAGCACUGAAAUGAAGCCCAGGUAAACGGCGGCCGUAACUAUAACGGUCCUAAGGUAGCGAAAUUCCUUGUCGGGUAAGUUCCGA
This 780-nucleotide ribosomal RNA is filed under the name Nostoc sp. 3335mG. Its description in RNAcentral is "bacterial LSU rRNA". It matches the Rfam family "Bacterial large subunit ribosomal RNA", at positions 1100 to 1986 of the family's 2925-position model. Lineage: Bacteria; Bacillati; Cyanobacteriota; Cyanophyceae; Nostocales; Nostocaceae. The record is from RNAcentral.